Molecule: transfer RNA, 58 nt
Filed under: uncultured eukaryote
Lineage: Eukaryota
Source: RNAcentral
UUGGUGGUCUCAGCGUCGUCGGUCCACGGGCGCUCACGGCGCCGUCGCGGCUCCGCCA